Molecule: non-coding RNA, 121 nt
Filed under: Suricata suricatta (meerkat)
Lineage: Eukaryota; Metazoa; Chordata; Mammalia; Carnivora; Herpestidae
Source: RNAcentral
GUGUUGUAUGAAAGAAGUUAGCACUCCCCUUAACAAAGAUGUAAGAGUUCCUCAGGUCUGACAAUCCACAUAUGGUUUAAGGCAUUGCCACAUACUUUGUGGUACCUAACUAUAAUUUUUA